This 1753-nucleotide long non-coding RNA is filed under the name Olea europaea subsp. europaea. Lineage: Eukaryota; Viridiplantae; Streptophyta; Magnoliopsida; Lamiales; Oleaceae. The record is from RNAcentral.
UGAAAAUUAAUCAGUACCACAAACUUGGUACAGUUAAAAUAAAAGAAAAGGAAAAAAGUCAAAAUUAAUUAAAAAAAAAUGAAAAGAAAAGAGAGGUAACAUUUCAACUACAACACCAGAACAUCAUAUAACACAACUAAAUGACUGCAACAUCUAAUCUUGAGUGUGAGUUUAGAGUUAAGACGUAUGCAUGGCAUAAAUAGGACACAAGGAAAAAUAUUAGCACUGCAUAAUAGCAUAAGUUUAGAUCUUAAGAUAAAAGGAAAGAAAAAGAUCUAAUAGUGGGAGAGGGGAAAUAGAAGAAAACACAGUAAAACUUAGGCCAUCAGAUGAGAUAUAUCAUCAAUCAAUUUCACUCGAAAACUAUUUUUUCUCUUCGAUUAUCCCUAAAUGGCAUGAAAUUACAUUUUCGAAAUGAAAAAUUUUCCACAAAACAAAACAAACCCUACAACAUAUGAAAAUGGAUAUUAAAAACAAAGUCAACAAAAAAUUGAAAUAAAAGAAAAAGUGCAUAAGAUUAAAAACAAAGAACAAAAAAGCUAUAGAUCUUCGAUUAUUCUACACGUUGAAAGCCACUCGAAGAUGCCAAUUUUUUGCUAUACCUAUGUGCCAAUAGCUGGUAUCUAUCUCCUCAAGAAGGUCAAAAAUAGAGGAAUCUUAUACAGAGCACAAAUAUUUGAUAAAACACCAAAAAAGGCUAACAAAAAAUCACGAUUUUGAGUGUUUGGGAGAGAAGAGUGAAAGGUCGAAUCUUGGAGAGGAAAAAUGAAUUGGAAAAUCGAUGAUAGAAGGAAAAUGAGGAGUGAAUUGUUUCAAAAAUCACUGAAGUUAUACCAUGGUCACAAAUUGCACACUAAACUUCACUGUGCUUCACAGUACACACUGAACUUUACCAUUUAGCUCUCCAUCUCCCACCAUCAAAAAAUCCCUUUGUUGGUUGCUGACGUGGCGAACGAAAUUCCUAGUUGGCGUCUGACGGUCGUUAACUUGGGAGAAAAAGGGGGAACAAUUUUUGUAAUCUGAAAAUGCUUCUCGAAGCGCCACUGCCACAGAAACUACUCCGUUCGACAGCCUCAUCGCUGAUUUUGCUAGACCAAUUACUCUAACCGUAAACCAACCCAUCUCCUGUAAACACCACCACUAUCAUACCCAGACUCCGACGCCGCCACCAUGGACGUCCUCUACCAAAAAUAAUCAAUAGACCUAAACCAACAUCGAUCGACACCCAACUACACUAUAGCUCUGGUAAACUCAACUUGUUGCCGGCCUCCCUCGUCGAUUGCCAACCUACAUAAGUAACACAACACCACAUAUUCACCACCAUCAGCUGUCCAAGAGUCAACCGCCCAAACAUAGAAAAUUCAAACCACAAUCCACUACCACUAUCGUUUGCCACUGCAAUCAACCACAAUCCGAACCCAAAAAAUUCAUCCACCCGCUUUAUCUAUCUUGCUAGACAUAGAAACAUUACAAUCCACCACUAUUUUGCUACAAUUACAAAUGAAAUUCACCUCUUAAUCGUCACUUACCUCGCCAUCCACCACUUUCCUUUUUUCAAUUCAACUCUUUUCCAAUUGCAAAGAAUAUAGUUUUGAUGAUUUUAGUUUGUGUUUGGAUGUGGCUGUAGGGUGGUGGGUUUUGGUUUUUUGUGGGUGUGGGGUGGGUAGUCAAGGAGAAAGAACAUUUCUGGACUUUGGUUUUUGUCCAGCGACACGGUAGCAAGGAGCUAUCGGUGAAGAAAGGGAGGGGGGAC